AUACGUAGGUGGCAAGCGUUGUCCGGAAUUAUUGGGCGUAAAGCGCAUGUAGGCGGUAAUUUAAGUCUGUCGUGAAACUGCGGGGCUCAGCCCCGUAUGGCGAUGGAAACUGGGUUACUUGAGUGCAGGAGAGGAAAGGGGAACUCCCAGUGUAGCGGUGAAAUGCGUAGAUAUUGGGAAGAACACCGGUGGCGAAGGCGCCUUUCUGGACUGUGUCUGACGCUGAGAUGCGAAAGCCAGGGUAGCGAACGGGAUUAGAUACCCCGGUAGGCCUGGCCGUAAACGAUGGGUACUAGGUGUGGGAGGUAUCGACCCCUUCCGUGCCGGAGUUAACGCAAUAAGUACCCCGCCUGGGGAGUACGGCCGCAAGGCUUAAACUCAAAGGAAUUGACGGGG
RNAcentral lists this ribosomal RNA (396 nucleotides) under uncultured bacterium. RNAcentral describes it as "partial 16S ribosomal RNA". It matches the Rfam family "Bacterial small subunit ribosomal RNA", at positions 523 to 918 of the family's 1533-position model. The record is from RNAcentral.